UACAGAGGGUGCAAGCGUUAAUCGGAAUUACUGGGCGUAAAGCGUGCGUAGACGGUUGCGUAAGUCAGAUGUGAAAGCCCCGGGCUCAACCUGGGAAUUGCAUUUGAGACUGCGUAGCUAGGGUGCGGAAGGGGCGAGUGGAAUUCCUGGUGUAGCGGUGAAAUGCGCAGAUGUCAGGAGGAACACCGGUGGCGAAGGCGGUUCUCUGGGCAUUACCUGACGCUGAGGAGCGAAAGUGUGGGGAGCGAACGGG
RNAcentral lists this ribosomal RNA (253 nucleotides) under uncultured bacterium. RNAcentral describes it as "partial 16S ribosomal RNA". It matches the Rfam family "Bacterial small subunit ribosomal RNA", at positions 524 to 776 of the family's 1533-position model. The record is from RNAcentral.